CGAACAUAUCAUAUUGAAACACCGGUUACCGUACGAUCACCAAAGUUAAGCAACGUCGAGCCUAGUCAGUACCUAGAUCGGUGACCGUUUGGGAAUACCAAGGGCUGUAAG
This is a non-coding RNA of Acanthosepion pharaonis, 111 nucleotides long. NCBI's taxonomy places the organism in Eukaryota, Metazoa, Mollusca, Cephalopoda, Sepiida, Sepiidae. The record is from the annotation of a GenBank genome assembly.